This 250-nucleotide ribosomal RNA is filed under the name uncultured bacterium. RNAcentral describes it as "partial 16S ribosomal RNA". It matches the Rfam family "Bacterial small subunit ribosomal RNA", at positions 355 to 617 of the family's 1533-position model. The record is from RNAcentral.
UGGGGAAUAUUGCACAAUGGGCGAAAGCCUGAUGCAGCGACGCCGCGUGAGGGACGACGGCCUUCGGGUUGUAAACCUCUUUCAGCAGGGACGAAGCGAAAGUGACUGUACCUGCAGAAGAAGCACCGGCUAACUACGUGCCAGCAGCCGCGGUAAUACGUAGGGUGCAAGCGUUGUCCGGAUUUAUUGGGCGUAAAGAGCUCGUAGGCGGUUUGUCGCGUCGGAUGUGAAAACCUAUGGCUUAACCAUG